This 234-nucleotide unclassified non-coding RNA is filed under the name uncultured fungus. RNAcentral describes it as "sequence contains ITS1, 5.8S rRNA gene". The stretch from base 186 to 234 matches the Rfam family "5.8S ribosomal RNA", at positions 1 to 49 of the family's 154-position model. The record is from RNAcentral. Lineage: Eukaryota; Fungi.
UCUCCGUAGGUGAACCUGCGGAGGGAUCAUUACCGAGUGAGGGCCUUCGGCCCGACCUCCAACCCUCUGUUCAACCGUCUUUGUUGCCUCGGGGGCGACCCGGCCUUCGGGCGUCGGGGCCCCCGGUGGACCACUCAAUCAAAACUCUGCGUCCCUGCGUCUGAGUCACGAAGUAAAUCAAUCAAAACUUUCAACAACGGAUCUCUUGGUUCUGGCAUCGAUGAAGAACGCAGC